Molecule: transfer RNA, 87 nt
Organism: Pisolithus microcarpus 441
Lineage: Eukaryota; Fungi; Basidiomycota; Agaricomycetes; Boletales; Pisolithaceae
Rfam family: tRNA
About the family: Transfer RNA (tRNA) molecules are approximately 80 nucleotides in length. Their secondary structure includes four short double-helical elements and three loops (D, anti-codon, and T loops).
Source: Rfam
GGCCUUGUAGUGUAGUGGUCAUCACACAGGAUUCUGAUGGAAUACGCAGAGAUUCCUGUAACCCAGGUUCGAGUCCUGGCAGGGCCU